RNAcentral lists this long non-coding RNA (489 nucleotides) under Anolis carolinensis (green anole). Its description in RNAcentral is "lncRNA (ENSACAG00000035842.1)". Lineage: Eukaryota; Metazoa; Chordata; Lepidosauria; Squamata; Anolidae. The record is from RNAcentral.
CUUGCUACCUUUUGCUUAUGAUGUGCUAAUGAUUUCUACAUAUUCAAAAUAGCAUUUACUCUUGAGUUAUAUCUGUUACAGUAAGUAGUAACAGGAUCAGGUGUGAGUUAAAAAAACCCUUAUGGUGUUAAUUAUUAUGAACAGCUGCUGAUGUAGGUCAGCAAGCAAGCUUGGACCACACCCGGUGGGGUAUAACUGUAUGAGUUUUUAGAAUACAGUUGGUGAUGGUGAUGCUGAAUGUGCAAUGACUGACCAGCAAUGCUCUUUGCUAUGAAGAACUGUACUUCAGCCAUUCCAGUUUUUAGAGCCAGAAGCUGACAAAGAGCUUAGAACAGUGUGGCCCAAGUGCUGCAGACUAUUUGUGCACACUCCUACAGGCUGUUUUUGUGUGUCCUCAAGGAUGAGCAUACUCUUCUUCUACUUGGAAGAGGAAGACAAUUUGCCUCAAAAUAGCCAACAGGAUGGUGCUGAGCCAUCUUUCUCUUAACU